GGCUGGGCCCAGUGCAGUAAUGUUUAUAACCAGUUACAGAUUUCUUUGUUUCUUCUCCACUAUCACUGUUUCACUUGACUAGCCUUAA
Papio anubis (olive baboon) is the source of this 88-nucleotide non-coding RNA. NCBI's taxonomy places the organism in Eukaryota, Metazoa, Chordata, Mammalia, Primates, Cercopithecidae. The record is from Rfam.